UUGGAGGUAGUGACAAUAAAUCACAAUGCGGGACUGUUAGUCUUGCAAUUGGAUUGAGAACAACGUACAACUCUUAUCGAUAAGCCAUUGGAGGGCAAGUCUGGUGCCAGCAGCCGCGGUAAUUCCAGCUCCAAUAGCGUAUAUUAACGUUGUUGCAGUUAAAAAGCUCGUAGUUGAAGUGAGGGAGUGUGUGGGUAUGAGAGCUAGUCUCAAGUACUCACAACCUCCCCCCUCCAAUCGGUGUAGUGGGGUAUUCAGUUAUUCUACUACUCCUUUGGUCGUUUACUGUGAGAAAAUUAGAGUGUUCAAAGCGGGCGUUUGUUUGAAUAGAUUAGCAUGGAAUAAUGAUUGAAGGCUUUCGUGUUCGAUUUGAUUGGUUUGUUCAUGGAAGCAAGGUUAAAAGGAACAGUUGGGGGUAUUCAUAUUCACUAGUUAGAGGUGAAAUUCUCGGAUUUAUGGAAGAUGAACAAGUGCGAAAGCAA
Molecule: ribosomal RNA, 482 nt
Filed under: Blastocystis sp. subtype 2
Lineage: Eukaryota; Bigyra; Opalinata; Blastocystidae
Description: SSU rRNA
Rfam family: Eukaryotic small subunit ribosomal RNA
Source: RNAcentral